GGGCCUGUAGUAUAACCUGGAAAGUACAUCGGGCUUCGAACCCGUUGAUCUCGGUUCAAAUCCGAGCAGGCUCA
RNAcentral lists this transfer RNA (74 nucleotides) under Candidatus Woesearchaeota archaeon. Its description in RNAcentral is "tRNA-Arg". It matches the Rfam family "tRNA". Rfam says of the family: Transfer RNA (tRNA) molecules are approximately 80 nucleotides in length. Lineage: Archaea; Nanobdellati; Candidatus Woesearchaeota. The record is from RNAcentral.